Parus major (Great Tit) is the source of this 214-nucleotide long non-coding RNA. RefSeq lists it as uncharacterized. NCBI's taxonomy places the organism in Eukaryota, Metazoa, Chordata, Aves, Passeriformes, Paridae. The transcript is spliced from 3 exons. The record is from RefSeq and is a predicted model, not a curated record.
AAAAAAACAGACUAUCAGAAGCAAGAGAAUUAGUCCUACAACAGGAAAAAGUCUUAAAGGACAUUAAGAUAAAACUAGACAACUUGCACAAGCACUUCAAGCGCUCUGAACUAAUUAGGUCAAAAAACUCAAAGGAGUUGCAGAUUCCAAUAGAAACCUUGGGAGAAGAAAGCAGGCAAAGGGAGGAGAAGAUGAAAAAGAAUACACAAGAUAA